This 183-nucleotide ribosomal RNA is filed under the name uncultured bacterium. Its description in RNAcentral is "partial 16S ribosomal RNA". It matches the Rfam family "Bacterial small subunit ribosomal RNA", at positions 1311 to 1500 of the family's 1533-position model. The record is from RNAcentral.
CCCGACUCCGUGAAGCUGGAUUCGCUAGUAAUCGCGCAUCAGCCAUGGCGCGGUGAAUACGUUCCCGGGCCUUGUACACACCGCCCGUCAAGCCAUGGGAGCCGGGGGUGCUUGAAGUGCGUCGCCGCAAGGCGCGCCCUAGAGCAAAAACCGGUGACUGGGGCUAAGUCGUAACAAGGUAAC